RNAcentral lists this ribosomal RNA (200 nucleotides) under Eurotiomycetes sp. NASAf1h-3-l-c1. RNAcentral describes it as "partial 16S ribosomal RNA". It matches the Rfam family "Eukaryotic small subunit ribosomal RNA", at positions 751 to 950 of the family's 1831-position model. Lineage: Eukaryota; Fungi; Ascomycota; Eurotiomycetes. The record is from RNAcentral.
AUUUACUGUGAAAAAAUUAGAGUGUUCAAAGCAGGCCUUUGCUCGAAUACAUUAGCAUGGAAUAAUAGAAUAGGACGUGCGGUUCUAUUUUGUUGGUUUCUAGGACCGCCGUAAUGAUUAAUAGGGAUAGUCGGGGGCGUCAGUAUUCAGCUGUCAGAAGGUGAAUUCUUUGAAUUUCUGAAAAAUAACUAACGGCAAAA